AGCAGUCGCCACGGUAAUACGUAGAUGGCAAGCGUUGUCCGGAAUUAUUGGGCGUAAAGGGCUCGCAGGCGGUUUCUUAAGUCUGAUGUGAAAGCCCCCGGCUCAACCGGGGAGGGUCAUUGGAAACUGGGAAUCUUGAGUGCAGAAGAGGAGAGUGGAAUUCCACGUGUAGCGGUGAAAUGCGUAGAGAUGUGGAGGAACACCAGUGGCGAAGGCGACUCUCUGGUCUGUAACUGACGCUGAGGAGCGAAAGCGUGGGGAGCGAACAGGAUUAGAUACCCCAGUAGUCCCUGUCUCUUAUAC
This 303-nucleotide ribosomal RNA is filed under the name uncultured bacterium. RNAcentral describes it as "partial 16S ribosomal RNA". It matches the Rfam family "Bacterial small subunit ribosomal RNA", at positions 507 to 807 of the family's 1533-position model. The record is from RNAcentral.